This is a long non-coding RNA of Anguilla rostrata (American eel), 1274 nucleotides long. RefSeq lists it as uncharacterized. The transcript has 4 exons. Lineage: Eukaryota; Metazoa; Chordata; Actinopteri; Anguilliformes; Anguillidae. The record is from RefSeq and is a predicted model, not a curated record.
UGCAUGAAACUUCCGCUUUACCUCCUAUUGGAUAACUGGCCAGUUGUGCGUUGUGCUUCAUUGAUUUAUGCACAGGAAAGCUAGCAAACAAAAGGUGUAGAUUUUAUUCUAGCUGUGGCAUUUGCAUUUGUUGUCUCUUAACAUGGGGGCCAAAGAAGUGCCAAUGCCAGUAAAGCAAGCCAUAAUUAAGCUGAAAAAUGAGAAAAAAUCGAUCAGGGACAUAGCGGAAAAAUUGGGUGUGUCAAAAUCAACUGUUUGGUAUAUUGUUAAAAAACAAGAACGCACUGGUGAGCUCAGCAAUAGCAAAAGAUCUGGUAGGCCACGAAAGACCACUGUGUCAGAUGACAAAAGAAUACUUUCAAUUGUUAAGAAAAAGCCCUUUUCGACUGCAGAACAGAUCAAGAACACUCUCCAGGAUGUAGGCGUAGAUGUAUCAAAGAGUACCAUAAGGAGGAGACUACACCAGCAUAACUUCAAAUGGUUCACCUCAAGAUGCAAACCACUGGAUAAUAUGACCUCCCUCCCUCAGGACCAAAGUGGGAUGUCACUGCUCCAGGUUUUCAAUAUGCACUCUAACAGAAAGCCAAAGUCAUCCACCCAAACAUCCAAGUACUUGUAAGAUGAUACUCUUUCAAUUGAGUCCCCUCCUAAGGAACAAGUUAGAAGAGAGAUCUUGCAGAAGAUGAAAACAAGGUUCAGCUCCAUCAUUGAUAGUGAAACGAUGGAUUUGGAGGACCUCCUAAACGUGGCUCAACAAGAGCUUGCUCUGGCUACAGCGACAUCCCAUCACAUUAACAUCCCAGAGGAACUAGUCUGCAGUCUGCAGGAGCUGAUCUGCAGACUCAGCCAGUCCAUGCAAUCUGUUGCAGAGGCACCAGCUAAUCCCUCAGAUAUUGUAUCUGUUACUUCGAACAAUUCCCCUUCCUCUGAAUGAAUGUUCUUCACCUUAUCCCCUUUUUAGGCCUAUGCUGAUUUGGCAACAUUCUGCCAAAUGAUGUCUACCAUUCAGAUAGUAUGCUUGUUCUUGUAAAUAUUUAAAUAAUUUGAUUAUAAAACAUUCAUUAUUUUUGUUAAUAUGAUGCAUUUUUCAUUAUUGAUCAUGGACAUUGUUGGUCUCCUUUUUUUCCACCAGUUUUCUUUUUCAAGUGGCCAAUCACAGUUCUGCCCACCAGAGGUGGGACUAUAAAUGGAUGACUGUUUUUUGUUACUAAACACUGACAUUGAUGAAGCCCUGAUGGGCAAAAUGUCUGUUCAAUAAAUCAGACUUCAUCUCA